CAGUAGCCGCGGUAAUACGAAGGGUGCAAGCGUUAAUCGGAAUUACUGGGCGUAAAGCGUGCGUAGGCGGUUUGUUAAGUCUGUUGUGAAAUCCCCGGGCUCAACCUGGGAAUGGCAAUGGAUACUGGCAAGCUAGAGUGUGUCAGAGGAUGGUGGAAUUCCCGGUGUAGCGGUGAAAUGCGUAGAGAUCGGGAGGAACAUCAGUGGCGAAGGCGGCCAUCUGGGACAACACUGACGCUGAGGCACGAAAGCGUGGGGAGCAAACAGGAUUAGAUACCCCGGUAGUCCCUGUCUCUUAUAC
RNAcentral lists this ribosomal RNA (301 nucleotides) under uncultured bacterium. RNAcentral's name for it is "partial 16S ribosomal RNA". It matches the Rfam family "Bacterial small subunit ribosomal RNA", at positions 509 to 807 of the family's 1533-position model. The record is from RNAcentral.